This 120-nucleotide ribosomal RNA is filed under the name Myotis davidii. Lineage: Eukaryota; Metazoa; Chordata; Mammalia; Chiroptera; Vespertilionidae. The record is from RNAcentral.
GUCUCCAGCCAUACCACCCUGAACACGCCCGAUCUCCUCUGAUCUCGGAAGCUAAGCAGGGUCAGGCCUGGUUAGUACUUGGAUGGGAGAGUGAGAGAGAGAGAGAGAAUGAAAGAGAAG